This 507-nucleotide ribosomal RNA is filed under the name Pseudomonas sp. PB2RP2. RNAcentral's name for it is "bacterial SSU rRNA". It matches the Rfam family "Bacterial small subunit ribosomal RNA", at positions 958 to 1478 of the family's 1533-position model. Lineage: Bacteria; Pseudomonadati; Pseudomonadota; Gammaproteobacteria; Pseudomonadales; Pseudomonadaceae. The record is from RNAcentral.
AACGCGAAGAACCCUUACCGGCCUUUCUUCCAAAUAACUUUCCGGAUGGUUGGUCCUUCGGGAACAUUGAGACAGGUUUCAUGGCUCGUCAGUUUGUGUCGUGAGAUUUGGGUUAAGUCCCGUGGCGAGCGCAACCCUUGUCCUUAGUUACCAGCACGUUAUGGUGGGCACUUAAGGAGACUGCCGGUGACAAACCGGAGGAAGGUGGGGAUGACGUCAAGUCAUCAUGGCCCUUACGGCCUGGGCUACACACGUGCUACAAUGGUCGGUACAGAGGGUUGCCAAGCCGCGAGGUGGAGCUAAUCCCAUAAAACCGAUCGUAGUCCGGAUCGCAGUCUGCAACUCGACUGCGUGAAGUCGGAAUCGCUAGUAAUCGCGAAUCAGAAUGUCGCGGUGAAUACGUUCCCGGGCCUUGUACACACCGCCCGUCACACCAUGGGAGUGGGUUGCACCAGAAGUAGCUAUUCUAACCUUCAGAGGACGGUACCAUCGGUUGAUCAUGACUUU